RNAcentral lists this ribosomal RNA (497 nucleotides) under uncultured bacterium. RNAcentral describes it as "partial 16S ribosomal RNA". It matches the Rfam family "Bacterial small subunit ribosomal RNA", at positions 28 to 507 of the family's 1533-position model. The record is from RNAcentral.
GACGAACGCUGGCGGCGUGCCUAAUACAUGCAAGUUGAGCGAUGAAGCUUGGUGCUUGCACCAAUUUGAAGAGCAGCGAACGGGUGAGUAACGCGUGGGGAAUCUGCCUUUGAGCGGGGGACAACAUUUGGAAACGAAUGCUAAUACCGCAUAACAACUUUAAACAUAAGUUUUAAGUUUGAAAGAUGCAAUUGCAUCACUCAAAGAUGAUCCCGCGUUGUAUUAGCUAGUUGGUGAGGUAAAGGCUCACCAAGGCGAUGAUACAUAGCCGACCUGAGAGGGUGAUCGGCCACAUUGGGACUGAGACACGGCCCAAACCCCUACGGGAGGCAGCAGUAGGGAAUCUUCGGCAAUGGACGAAAGUCUGACCGAGCAACGCCGCGUGAGUGAAGAAGGUUUUCGGAUCGUAAAACUCGGUUGGUAGAGAAGAACGUUGGUGAGAGUGGAAAGCUCAUCAAGUGACGGUAACUACACAGAAAGGGACGGCUAACUACGUG